UUAAGCGACUAAGCGUACACGGUGGAUGCCCUGGCAGUCAGAGGCGAUGAAGGACGUGCUAAUCUGCGAUAAGCGUCGGUAAGGUGAUAUGAACCGUUAUAACCGGCGAUUUCCGAAUGGGGAAACCCAGUGUGUUUCGACACACUAUCAUUAACUGAAUCCAUAGGUUAAUGAGGCGAACCGGGGGAACUGAAACAUCUAAGUACCCCGAGGAAAAGAAAUCAACCGAGAUUCCCCCAGUAGCGGCGAGCGAACGGGGAGGAGCCCAGAGCCUGAAUCAGUGUGUGUGUUAGUGGAAGCGUCUGGAAAGGCGCGCGAUACAGGGUGACAGCCCCGUACACAAAAAUGCACAUGCUGUGAGCUCGAUGAGUAGGGCGGGACACGUGGUAUCCUGUCUGAAUAUGGGGGGACCAUCCUCCAAGGCUAAAUACUCCUGACUGACCGAUAGUGAACCAGUACCGUGAGGGAAAGGCGAAAAGAACCCCGGCGAGGGGAGUGAAAAAGAACCUGAAACCGUGUACGUACAAGCAGUGGGAGCACGCUUAGGCGUGUGACUGCGUACCUUUUGUAUAAUGGGUCAGCGACUUAUAUUCUGUAGCAAGGUUAACCGAAUAGGGGAGCCGAAGGGAAACCGAGUCUUAACUGGGCGUUAAGUUGCAGGGUAUAGACCCGAAACCCGGUGAUCUAGCCAUGGGCAGGUUGAAGGUUGGGUAACACUAACUGGAGGACCGAACCGACUAAUGUUGAAAAAUUAGCGGAUGACUUGUGGCUGGGGGUGAAAGGCCAAUCAAACCGGGAGAUAGCUGGUUCUCCCCGAAAGCUAUUUAGGUAGCGCCUCGUGAAUUCAUCUCCGGGGGUAGAGCACUGUUUCGGCAAGGGGGUCAUCCCGACUUACCAACCCGAUGCAAACUGCGAAUACCGGAGAAUGUUAUCACGGGAGACACACGGCGGGUGCUAACGUCCGUCGUGAAGAGGGAAACAACCCAGACCGCCAGCUAAGGUCCCAAAGUCAUGGUUAAGUGGGAAACGAUGUGGGAAGGCCCAGACAGCCAGGAUGUUGGCUUAGAAGCAGCCAUCAUUUAAAGAAAGCGUAAUAGCUCACUGGUCGAGUCGGCCUGCGCGGAAGAUGUAACGGGGCUAAACCAUGCACCGAAGCUGCGGCAGCGACGCUUAUGCGUUGUUGGGUAGGGGAGCGUUCUGUAAGCCUGUGAAGGUGUGCUGUGAGGCAUGCUGGAGGUAUCAGAAGUGCGAAUGCUGACAUAAGUAACGAUAAAGCGGGUGAAAAGCCCGCUCGCCGGAAGACCAAGGGUUCCUGUCCAACGUUAAUCGGGGCAGGGUGAGUCGACCCCUAAGGCGAGGCCGAAAGGCGUAGUCGAUGGGAAACAGGUUAAUAUUCCUGUACUUGGUGUUACUGCGAAGGGGGGACGGAGAAGGCUAUGUUGGCCGGGCGACGGUUGUCCCGGUUUAAGCGUGUAGGCUGGUUUUCCAGGCAAAUCCGGAAAAUCAAGGCUGAGGCGUGAUGACGAGGCACUACGGUGCUGAAGCAACAAAUGCCCUGCUUCCAGGAAAAGCCUCUAAGCAUCAGGUAACAUCAAAUCGUACCCCAAACCGACACAGGUGGUCAGGUAGAGAAUACCAAGGCGCUUGAGAGAACUCGGGUGAAGGAACUAGGCAAAAUGGUGCCGUAACUUCGGGAGAAGGCACGCUGAUAUGUAGGUGAAGUCCCUCGCGGAUGGAGCUGAAAUCAGUCGAAGAUACCAGCUGGCUGCAACUGUUUAUUAAAAACACAGCACUGUGCAAACACGAAAGUGGACGUAUACGGUGUGACGCCUGCCCGGUGCCGGAAGGUUAAUUGAUGGGGUUAGCGCAAGCGAAGCUCUUGAUCGAAGCCCCGGUAAACGGCGGCCGUAACUAUAACGGUCCUAAGGUAGCGAAAUUCCUUGUCGGGUAAGUUCCGACCUGCACGAAUGGCGUAAUGAUGGCCAGGCUGUCUCCACCCGAGACUCAGUGAAAUUGAACUCGCUGUGAAGAUGCAGUGUACCCGCGGCAAGACGGAAAGACCCCGUGAACCUUUACUAUAGCUUGACACUGAACAUUGAGCCUUGAUGUGUAGGAUAGGUGGGAGGCUUGGAAGUGUGGACGCCAGUCUGCAUGGAGCCGACCUUGAAAUACCACCCUUUAAUGUUUGAUGUUCUAACGUUGACCCGUAAUCCGGGUUGCGGACAGUGUCUGGUGGGUAGUUUGACUGGGGCGGUCUCCUCCUAAAGAGUAACGGAGGAGCACGAAGGUUGGCUAAUCCUGGUCGGACAUCAGGAGGUUAGUGCAAUGGCAUAAGCCAGCUUGACUGCGAGCGUGACGGCGCGAGCAGGUGCGAAAGCAGGUCAUAGUGAUCCGGUGGUUCUGAAUGGAAGGGCCAUCGCUCAACGGAUAAAAGGUACUCCGGGGAUAACAGGCUGAUACCGCCCAAGAGUUCAUAUCGACGGCGGUGUUUGGCACCUCGAUGUCGGCUCAUCACAUCCUGGGGCUGAAGUAGGUCCCAAGGGUAUGGCUGUUCGCCAUUUAAAGUGGUACGCGAGCUGGGUUUAGAACGUCGUGAGACAGUUCGGUCCCUAUCUGCCGUGGGCGCUGGAGAACUGAGGGGGGCUGCUCCUAGUACGAGAGGACCGGAGUGGACGCAUCACUGGUGUUCGGGUUGUCAUGCCAAUGGCACUGCCCGGUAGCUAAAUGCGGAAGAGAUAAGUGCUGAAAGCAUCUAAGCACGAAACUUGCCCCGAGAUGAGUUCUCCCUGACCCUUUAAGGGUCCUGAAGGAACGUUGAAGACGACGACGUUGAUAGGCCGGGUGUGUAAGCGCAGCGAUGCGUUGAGCUAACCGGUACUAAUGAACCGUGAGGCUUAACCUU
RNAcentral lists this ribosomal RNA (2902 nucleotides) under Escherichia coli. RNAcentral's name for it is "bacterial LSU rRNA". It matches the Rfam family "Bacterial large subunit ribosomal RNA". Lineage: Bacteria; Pseudomonadati; Pseudomonadota; Gammaproteobacteria; Enterobacterales; Enterobacteriaceae. The record is from RNAcentral.